AUGGUUGUUGACAGAAGGUUUGUUGGAAUUGUAAGGGAUGGUGAGUCAGCGAUUGAUUCGAUUGUUGGUGAGCUUGCAGAUGGAGAUUCACGUGUGUGUCUGAAAAUGAAAAAGAAAUGGUUUAUUGUACAGCAGCGUCGGAGAUGGAAGCUAAUGUUUUACAGUUGGGGAGGUCCGGUUGAAGGUUCACCGGAAAUUGAAGAAGAGAUAAAGAGGGGGAGAAUGAAGUUUGUGGAUGGAGGUUAUGUGGGUGAAGAAGAAUUGUGA
Molecule: non-coding RNA, 267 nt
Organism: Vicia faba (fava bean)
Lineage: Eukaryota; Viridiplantae; Streptophyta; Magnoliopsida; Fabales; Fabaceae
Source: the annotation of a GenBank genome assembly